RNAcentral lists this ribosomal RNA (575 nucleotides) under uncultured cyanobacterium. RNAcentral's name for it is "bacterial SSU rRNA". It matches the Rfam family "Bacterial small subunit ribosomal RNA", at positions 28 to 650 of the family's 1533-position model. The record is from RNAcentral. Lineage: Bacteria; Bacillati; Cyanobacteriota.
GAUGAACGCUGGCGGCGUGCUUAACACAUGCAAGUCGAACGAACCUUCGGGUUAGUGGCGGACGGGUGAGUAACGCGUGAGAAUCUGCCCUCAGGAGGGGGAUAACGGCUGGAAACGGGCGCUAAUACCCCAUAUGCCGAGAGGUGAAAUGAAUUUCGCCUGAGGAUGAGCUCGCGUCUGAUUAGCUAGUUGGUGUGGUAAAGGCUCACCAAGGCAUCGAUCAGUAGCUGGUCUGAGAGGAUGAUCAGCCACACUGGGACUGAGACACGGCCCAGACUCCUACGGGAGGCAGCAGUGGGGAAUUUUCCGCAAUGGGCGCAAGCCUGACGGAGCAACGCCGCGUGAGGGAUGAAGGCCUCUGGGCUGUAAACCUCUUUUAUCAAGGAAGAAGAUCUGACGGUACUUGAUGAAUAAGCCACGGCUAAUUCCGUGCCAGCAGCCGCGGUAAUACGGGAGUGGCAAGCGUUAUCCGGAAUUAUUGGGCGUAAAGCGUCCGCAGGCGGUCUUGAAAGUCUGUUGUUAAAGCGUGGAGCUCAACUCCAUUUCAGCAAUGGAAACUAGAAGACUAGAGUGUG